GGGAUUGAACCCAAGGACACUGUACCGCUGAGCCACACCUCUAGCCUUUUUUAUUUUUUAUUUUGAGAUAGGAUCUCACUAAGUUGCCUAGGCUGGCCUCAAACUUGGGAUCCUCUUGCCUCAGCAUCCUGAGUUGUCACUGGAGUCACAGGGGUGCACCACUUGAGAUGGAGGGAAAAAAAUUAUUUUUUCUUUUUUGCCAUGCUGGGGAUUGAACUCAGGGCCUUCUGCCUGCUCGGCAAGCACUCUUUCACUAAACUACAUUCCUGUCCUUAAAAGUUUUUAAUUUUGAUGAAGUACAUUUCAUCAAUUUUUUUCUUUUAUGGAUUUAUGUUUUUUGGUAUGAAGUCUAAGAACUCUUUGCUUAGCCUAGAUCCCAAAGGUUUUCUCCUCCAAUUUUCCUAAACUUUUUAUAAUUUUGUGUUACCAACUAUACCUAGGACCAAGUUUAUUUUGAGUUUAAUUUCAGUAUAAGGUGUAAGGUUUGGGUUGUUUUCUGUUUUGUUGUUUCCCCAGCGCUGGGGAUCAAUCCCAGGUCCUCAUGCAUGCCAGGCAAGCACUCUACCAAAGGGCUACAUCCCUAGAUACCCCCAUCUCACCCUGGGUUUUUGUUUUGUUGUUUUGUUGUUAGUUUUACUAUAGAUGUCCAGUUAUUCCAGCACAAUUCGUUGGAGAGACUGAUCUUCCUCCACUGAAUUGCUUUUAUAUCUUUGGAUAUAUUUUGUGUCUGAUUUCAUAGUUCUGUCCUUCUGUUAGUACCACAGUCUUCAUUAUUAUAUCUCUAUUCUAAUUCCUGAAAUACUCACGGUUGCUCCAGAUCCUAUCCUGAAAUACUCACGGUUGCUCCAGAUCCUAU
Molecule: long non-coding RNA, 856 nt
Filed under: Marmota monax (woodchuck)
Lineage: Eukaryota; Metazoa; Chordata; Mammalia; Rodentia; Sciuridae
Source: RNAcentral